Tympanuchus pallidicinctus (lesser prairie-chicken) is the source of this 1507-nucleotide long non-coding RNA. RefSeq lists it as uncharacterized. Lineage: Eukaryota; Metazoa; Chordata; Aves; Galliformes; Phasianidae. The transcript is spliced from 3 exons. The record is from RefSeq and is a predicted model, not a curated record.
AGGAUGGAAGAGGAGAGGAUAUUUCAGUGCCUUCCUUUGCAGGCAAUGCCAGGGGAAGGCAUCCUGAUGCGCAGCAGUGCAAGGAGCUCGGUGGUAGCAGGGCUCUGGGAUCCCUGGGGUGUAAACCUCAGUCUCAGUGUAAGCAUGUAUCUCCAGCAGAGUGGAAAGAAAUGCACAUCUCCUAUUUCCCCAAGGAGCUUUCAGGAUUUCCGAGAGAUCUCCCACCCUGCACCCAAAAGAAAAUCACUUCUGUUUUACAGUGGAGGUUGAAUUCACCCCGAAAAGCAUAAGCCCAACAUUGCCUCCUUCCCCAGAUGUCAGGAUGGCUGCUUGGACUGCUCACUCCCAUUCUGCCCCUUGGAAAAUGAUCAAGAUAGGAUAUUUGGACACAGAUUCUUCCUGACACAUUAUGCCUCUUAGCAAACCACAUUUUGCAGUGAAGAUCCGUUAAUUAUAUGCUUACUUUUAAUAAAUCCAUUCAAGUGCCACUAUAGGAUUCCUGGCAGAUGUGGGAUCCAUCCCAUCUCCACGGAGCCACCAACCCCGCAGAUGAGAGAGCUGGCACCACAGGCUGGGGAACACUGAGCAUUCUGGCACUCUUGCAUGAGUGUGUUUGGAAAGUGUUUUCAGUUCCUCAGAGCACCUUGUAAUUGAAUCAGAUAAACACACGGAAGGCACUGUGAUUUUCAGGUGCUGCUGAGCGCCAGCUGUAUGAUUACAGCAAAUCUUUCAGGUCCUCUGAGCUUGCUGACAGUGACUUAUUUUGGUAUUUGUACGAGCUGCUGUUUGUGAUGGAGGAGUUCACAGGGCAAUAAACAGGAUAAAAAGCCAGGCUGACGAACCUGAUUACUGUAAAAUCCAUUUAUUUCAAGUACACCAGUUACUUCUAUUAUGGGGCAUUUUGGAAAUAAUUCUGCAUCUUGAAGUAGUUUAAAGAAGAUUAAUUUUCAAAGGGAAAAACGAUUCUCAGAUCCAUUUUAUCUGCUUCUCGGACAAAGCGUGAAAUUAGGAGCUUAUCUACAAUCACUAAAAUUGAAGGCAGGUCUUUCCCUUGGCUUCAGUGGGUUAUAAAUCAAACUGGAUACAAAUACAGCGCAGUCCAUUGUGAUGAUUGAUAUGUGGAGCGAUGGGCUGGAGACACAUGCUGCCACUAAGCAUGGAGGUGUCACCUGUCAAGUAACAGCUUCACUGUGCUCAGUGGCAGAGAGCCCACCUGGGGGCUUCACAGCUCACCCAAGAGCUUUCUGGAUGGCUGGGAGGUAUCAAAUGCAUUCUCCCAACAGAAAUUUCUGUUUCGCUGCAUCCUUCCUUUCCUAAUGCCAAGUUCUUGCUACUACUGAAUCAAUGAAUUUUUUUAGACUGAAUUUUCAGUGUUAACCCAGAAAAGAACUGAUGAUAGUGUUAAACCAGAAGCCCUCUUUACUGUGCAUGGACUAAAAUUCCCUUGGAUUUUUGAUUCUUUUUGAUUCUCUGCUCUAUUGUUCUUCAUUUUGGACAGACCCUUCUG